GAUGAACGCUGGCGGCGUGCCUAAUACAUGCAAGUCGAGCGAACGGACGAGAAGCUUGCUUCUCUGAUGUUAGCGGCGGACGGGUGAGUAACACGUGGAUAACCUACCUAUAAGACUGGGAUAACUUCGGGAAACCGGAGCUAAUACCGGAUGAUAUUUUGAACCGCAUGGUUCAAAAGUGAAAGACGGUCUUGCUGUCACUUAUAGAUGGAUCCGCGCUGCAUUAGCUAGUUGGUAAGGUAACGGCUUACCAAGGCAACGAUGCAUAGCCGACCUGAGAGGGUGAUCGGCCACACUGGAACUGAGACACGGUCCAGACUCCUACGGGAGGCAGCAGUAGGGAAUCUUCCGCAAUGGGCGAAAGCCUGACGGAGCAACGCCGUGUGAGUGAUGAAGGUCUUCGGAUCGUAAAACUCUGUUAUUAGGGAAGAACAUAUGUGUAAGUAACUGUGCACAUCUUGACGGUACCUAAUCAGAAAGCCACGGCUAACUACGU
RNAcentral lists this ribosomal RNA (496 nucleotides) under uncultured bacterium. RNAcentral describes it as "partial 16S ribosomal RNA". It matches the Rfam family "Bacterial small subunit ribosomal RNA", at positions 28 to 506 of the family's 1533-position model. The record is from RNAcentral.